RNAcentral lists this long non-coding RNA (1376 nucleotides) under Amborella trichopoda. RNAcentral's name for it is "long non-coding RNA (ATRI_LNC005525)". The record is from RNAcentral. Lineage: Eukaryota; Viridiplantae; Streptophyta; Magnoliopsida; Amborellales; Amborellaceae.
CUUGCCCUCGCCCAUACUCUCUCUCCUAAAAAAUGCAGGAAAGUAUCCCAUUAUUUCAUUCAAGUUCAUGAUGGAAGAAGCACAAGAUAGAAGACACCUUUUUUGGUUGAAGAUUGAAUGGAGGAGUGCCUCUUUGAGAACCUAUUAUUUCAUUCAAAUUCAAAGCUACUCUCAAAAUCUGGAUUUUGAAUAUGGUAUGGAUUAAUAAUUAAGUAUUCACUUUCGGUGAUGAAUUAGCAAGCUAAUAGUCCCUCUCUCUACCCUCUCUCUAGGGCAAAUUGUUCAUCUCGAAUAUUAAUUUACAGGCCCACAAAAACAUGGACUUGAUAAUCGUUCUUUUUUUUCACUUUAAUAUUGGGUUUUUCUAUAAUUUACAUUGUUUAUCUAUUUAUUGAUUGAUGUUUUGGUGUUGGGUUCUCUCUGCAUUUUGAUUUUUCACUGUAUUUGUGUUUAUUUAGGCAACUCCACUGCUAAAAACCCAAGCGUCUGAUGUAAAAUGGAAUUAUCUCGUUCUAUCUAUAAUUUUAAAAGUCCCCCCAAAAAAUAUGAGUUCAUAUUAGAAUCACUCAAUUUAGUUUUUGGUUCAUUGUAGCUACUGCAAUUAUUGACUUGUUUAUAAAUCUUGUUGAGAUCCAACACAUUUGCAAAGUAUUCGACAAAAUUCUUAAUAGAGGCUUGUUACAAUACCAAAAUUACUAGUAAUUUUCAUGCAUUGCAUCCCCGUUGUCAAAGUAGGCUUAUGUAUUUUUUUUUUAUUUAAGAUUUUUAUAUGUAUACGUAGGGGCCUGUUAUAAUACCAAAAGCAAUGCAUUUUUUUAAUUAUUUUACAUUCUUUUUUAUUUUGUUUUCUUGAUAUAUAGGGCCUGUUAUGAUACCAUAGGUAAUGUAUCUUGAAAGGAACUCUUAAUUAGUCCUUAAGUCUUGUCUUCGUAACUUUUGAAGGUAUUUGAGGAAGCAAUAUUUGAGGAAGCAAUCUCCUAAAAAAUGCAGGAAAGUAUCCCAUUAUUUCAUUCAAGUUCAUGAUGGAAGAAGCACAUGAUAGAAGACACCUUUGUUUGGUUGAAGAUUGAAUGGAGGAGUGCCUCUUUGAGAACCUAUUAUUUCAUUCAAAUUCAAAGCUACUCUCAAAAUCUGGAUUUUGAAUAUGGUAUGGAUUAAUAAUUAAGUAUUCACUUUUGGUGAUGAAUUAGCAAGCUAAUAGUCCCUCUCUCUACCCUCUCUCUAGGGCAAAUUGUUCAUCUCAAAUAUUAAUUUACAGGCCCACAAAAACAUGGACUUGAUAAUCGUUCUUUUUUUCACUUUAAUCUUGGGUUUUUCUAUAAUUUACAUUGUUUAUCUAUUUAUUGAUUGAUGUUUUGGUGUCGGGUUCUCUAUGC